GACGAACGCUGGCGGCGUGCUUAACACAUGCAAGUCGAACGGAAAGGCCCUGCUUUUGUGGGGUGCUCGAGUGGCGAACGGGUGAGUAACACGUGAGUAACCUGCCCUUGACUUUGGGAUAACUUCAGGAAACUGGGGCUAAUACCGGAUAGGAGCUCCUGCUGCAUGGUGGGGGUUGGAAAGUUUCGGCGGUUGGGGAUGGACUCGCGGCUUAUCAGCUUGUUGGUGGGGUAGUGGCUUACCAAGGCUUUGACGGGUGGCCGGCCUGAGAGGGUGACCGGCCACAUUGGGACUGAGAUACGGCCCAGACUCCUACGGGAGGCAGCAGUGGGGAAUAUUGCACAAUGGGCGGAAGCCUGAUGCAGCAACGCCGCGUGCGGGAUGACGGCCUUCGGGUUGUAAACCGCUUUCGCCUGUGACGAAGCGUGAGUGACGGUAAUGGGGAAAGAAGCACCGGCUAACUACGU
RNAcentral lists this ribosomal RNA (467 nucleotides) under uncultured bacterium. RNAcentral's name for it is "partial 16S ribosomal RNA". It matches the Rfam family "Bacterial small subunit ribosomal RNA", at positions 28 to 506 of the family's 1533-position model. The record is from RNAcentral.